AUUGAACGCUGGCGGCAGGCCUAACACAUGCAAGUCGAGCGAUGAAGUUUCCUUCGGGAAACGGAUUAGCGGCGGACGGGUGAGUAACACGUGGGUAACCUGCCUUGUAGAGGGGGAUAGCCUUCCGAAAGGAAGAUUAAUACCGCAUAAUAUUGUAGUAUCGCAUGGUACAACAAUCAAAAGAGCAAUCUGCUACAAGAUGGACCCGCGGCGCAUUAGCUAGUUGGUAAGGUAAUGGCUUACCAAGGCGACGAUGCGUAGCCGACCUGAGAGGGUGAUCGGCCACAUUGGGACUGAGACACGGCCCAGACUCCUACGGGAGGCAGCAGUGGGGAAUAUUGCACAAUGGGGGAAACCCUGAUGCAGCAACGCCGCGUGAGUGAUGACGGUCUUCGGAUUGUAAAACUCUGUCUUUGGGGACGAUAAUGACGGUACCCAAGGAGGAAGCCACGGCUAACUACGUGCCAGCAGCCGCGGUAAUACGUAGGUGGCAAGCGUUGUCCGGAUUUACUGGGCGUAAAGGGAGCGUAGGCGGAUUUUUAAGUGGGAUGUGAAAUACUCGGGCUCAACCUGAGUGCUGCAUUCCAAACUGGAGAUCUAGAGUGCAGGAGGGGAGAGUGGAAUUCCUAGUGUAGCGGUGAAAUGCGUAGAGAUUAGGAAGAACACCAGUGGCGAAGGCGACUCUCUGGACUGUAACUGACGCUGAGGCUCGAAAGCGUGGGGAGCAAACAGG
RNAcentral lists this ribosomal RNA (733 nucleotides) under uncultured bacterium. Its description in RNAcentral is "bacterial SSU rRNA". It matches the Rfam family "Bacterial small subunit ribosomal RNA", at positions 28 to 776 of the family's 1533-position model. The record is from RNAcentral.